CUCCACAGCCGUGUCUAGAAGGGUACCUU
This 29-nucleotide non-coding RNA is filed under the name Rattus norvegicus (Norway rat). Lineage: Eukaryota; Metazoa; Chordata; Mammalia; Rodentia; Muridae. The record is from RNAcentral.